CACACCACAUCAGGGGCCGGGAAUCCCACUCAGGGUUUAGCCCUAGGCUCCCCCCAGCACCCCCCUCCCAAUCCAGAGGACACUCCCAGCCCUGAGCAGCGAGCUCUGGGCAGGCAUCGGGAGAGGGAGCGCAUCUCGGCUCUUUGUGAGGAAUUACGUCCCGACAGGUCACUGACACAGAAAAGCCCUUUGUCCCAGCCAGCUGGCCGCCUGCUAAUGACAUCCAGCCUGCACCUUCCAAGGCCACCUCUGCAUCCAGAAAGGACAGUGGCGGCUCCAGCCGGGGAGGAACAAGGGCCACAGCUUCCCUGGGGUCAGGGGUGGGGAGGGUGGGUGAAGGCUCCGGACGCUUCUGCACGUUGCCCCAGAGCUGCGGACGGACCUCAGGUGACCGUCAAGACCUGCUGCGGAUCCAGUGACCCCUCCAAGGAGAGUGCCGAGUCCUGGGAAUUCUCUUCCUCCUCCUGCACCUCCAGGUGUCUCCCAGCUGCUGAGAAUGAGCCAAGGGACCAAGAUGGCCGCCUGGCUCCUGCAAGUGGAGAGGGUCUUGCUGGGGCCUGAACUGGCUGAGGUCUUGCAGCAGGU
Molecule: long non-coding RNA, 585 nt
Filed under: Homo sapiens (human)
Lineage: Eukaryota; Metazoa; Chordata; Mammalia; Primates; Hominidae
Description: non-protein coding lnc-COL20A1-1:3
Source: RNAcentral